UACAGAGGGUGCAAGCGUUCAUCGGAAUUACUGGGCGUAAAGCGAGCGUAGUCGGUUAUUUAAGUCGGGUGUGAAAGCCCCGGGCUCAACCUGGGAAUUGCAUUCGAUACUGGAUAGCUAGAGUUCGGCAGAGGGAAGCGGAAUUUCCGGUGUAGCGGUGAAAUGCGUAGAUAUCGGAAGGAACAUCAGUGGCGAAAGCGGCUUCCUGGACCAGAACUGACGAUCAGGCUCGAAAGCGUGGGGAGCAAACAGG
RNAcentral lists this ribosomal RNA (253 nucleotides) under uncultured bacterium. Its description in RNAcentral is "partial 16S ribosomal RNA". It matches the Rfam family "Bacterial small subunit ribosomal RNA", at positions 524 to 776 of the family's 1533-position model. The record is from RNAcentral.